Molecule: long non-coding RNA, 414 nt
Organism: Centruroides sculpturatus (bark scorpion)
Lineage: Eukaryota; Metazoa; Arthropoda; Arachnida; Scorpiones; Buthidae
Exons: 3
Source: RefSeq, a predicted model, not a curated record
GCCAGCGCUCGUACUGGACGAGGGGUGAAGCUCUUCCGAGAAAGGAGAAAAUCGGCCUGAAAGUUACAGCUUUCAUGAGUGAGAUGCCCAUAUCAAAAGUUCGGAGCGUGGGUGUCGGGAAGAAGUGAAAAGUGUCUGUGUAAACCACCCGAUAUCUGCUCUUACCUUUAUCUUCAACCUUCACAUAUCCUGCUGCCUAUCGGGGAGAUAAGAUUUGCUUACCUUUUUUUUUGUGUGUGUGUAUUUUGCUCAUUCUAAACAGGUGAGAUCAUUUUUUCUCUCUCAUUUAUGCUCAUUUCUAACCUACAUUUAGUCCUUCGUAAACCCUGUACAACUUCUUCAUUGGCGGUGUUAUAACGUAUAACGAGGCUCUUCUUCCUUCUAAGAGGCCCUAAAGCGUCAAGUUGUUUGCUU